This 67-nucleotide transfer RNA is filed under the name Ligula intestinalis. RNAcentral describes it as "tRNA-Phe". The record is from RNAcentral. Lineage: Eukaryota; Metazoa; Platyhelminthes; Cestoda; Diphyllobothriidea; Diphyllobothriidae.
UUUCUCUUAGCUUAGGUUGUUAAAGCGUUAGUUUGAAGCACUAAAGAUAACUUUGUGUUAGAGAGGC